This 468-nucleotide ribosomal RNA is filed under the name uncultured bacterium. RNAcentral describes it as "partial 16S ribosomal RNA". It matches the Rfam family "Bacterial small subunit ribosomal RNA", at positions 28 to 507 of the family's 1533-position model. The record is from RNAcentral.
GACGAACGCUGGCGGCGUGCUUAACACAUGCAAGUCGAACGGAAAGGCCCUGCUUUUGUGGGGUGCUCGAGUGGCGAACGGGUGAGUAACACGUGAGUAACCUGCCCUUGACUUUGGGAUAACUUCAGGAAACUGGGGCUAAUACCGGAUAGGAGCUCCUGCUGCAUGGUGGGGGUUGGAAAGUUUCGGCGGUUUGGGAUGGACUCGCGGCUUAUCAGCUUGUUGGUGGGGUAGUGGCUUACCAAGGCUUUGACGGGUAGCCGGCCUGAGAGGGUGACCGGCCACAUUGGGACUGAGAUACGGCCCAGACUCCUACGGGAGGCAGCAGUGGGGAAUAUUGCACAAUGGGCGGAAGCCUGAUGCAGCAACGCCGCGUGCGGGAUGAAGGCCUUCGGGUUGUAAACCGCUUUCGCCUGUGACGAAGCGUGAGUGACGGUAAUGGGUAAAGAAGCACCGGCUAACUACGUG